RNAcentral lists this transfer RNA (70 nucleotides) under Dilophus febrilis. RNAcentral describes it as "tRNA-Met". Lineage: Eukaryota; Metazoa; Arthropoda; Insecta; Diptera; Bibionidae. The record is from RNAcentral.
AUAAAAAUAAGCUAAUUUAAGCUAUUAGGUUCAUACCCUACACAUAAAGGUAAUAAUCCUUUUUUUUAUA